AUAUGAUCGGAUUCGCUGGG
RNAcentral lists this non-coding RNA (20 nucleotides) under Arabidopsis thaliana (thale cress). The record is from RNAcentral. Lineage: Eukaryota; Viridiplantae; Streptophyta; Magnoliopsida; Brassicales; Brassicaceae.